Molecule: ribosomal RNA, 510 nt
Filed under: uncultured bacterium
Lineage: Bacteria
Description: partial 16S ribosomal RNA
Rfam family: Bacterial small subunit ribosomal RNA
Source: RNAcentral
GACGAACGCUGGCGGCGUGCUUAACACAUGCAAGUCGAACGAAGAGCGAUGGAAUCUUGCUUCUAUCAAUCUUAGUGGCGAACGGGUGAGUAACGCGUAAUCAACCUGCCCUUCAGAGGGGGACAACAGUUGGAAACGACUGCUAAUACCGCAUACGAUCCGACCUCGGCAUCGUGGAUGGAUGAAAGUUGGCCUCGAUUUAUAAUCUAUCACUGUAGGAGGGGAUUGCGUCUGAUUAGCUAGUUGGAGGGGUAACGGCCCACCAAGGCAAUGAUCAGUAGACGGUCUGGGAGGAUGAACGGCCACAUUGGGACUGAGACACGGCCCAGACUCCUACGGGAGGCAGCAGUGGGGAAUCUUCCGAAAUGGACGAAAGUCUGACGGAGCAACGCCGCGUGAGUGAUGACGGCCUUCGGGUUGGAAAGCUCUGUUAAUCGGGACGAAAGGUCUUCUUGCGAAUAGUUAGAAGAAUUGACGGUACCGGAAGAGAAAGCCACGACUAACUACGUG